CCAUCUUUUCCGGCGCUGGCUCCUCUCCGUCAGUGCGGUUUCGCCUUUAUGGUGGUGGAGUCUGCCCAGGCUGUGGGACUAUCAGUCCUCCCUGUGCGUCCAGUUCGGAGAGGCUGCGCGCUCUCUCGGCUCACUGCAACCUCUGCAACCUCUGCCUCCAGGGUCAAGCAGUUCUCCUGCCUCAGCCUUCCGAGUACCUGGGAUUACAGGACCGCAAAUAACCCUGUACAAAGAGGAAUGGAGAUUGCCUCUAUCCACCUAGAUUCAUAAGCUGGCCUGAGGUGAUCUUGGCAUCAAGGAAGGGAUGCACAUCAUCACACCAUCAGCUUCAGAGAAUGGCAGCCAUUUAUUUGUCCCGUGGGUUUUUUUCCAGGGAACCAAUCUGCCCUUUUGAAGAAAAGACAAAGGUAGAAAGGAUGGUGGAGGACUACCUGGCAAGUGGUUAUCAGGUAAGCAGAAAACGUACUGUUGUUAAAAAUGAUAUGCUUUCAUCCAAUAGGUAGACAGAUUUCUUUCUAGACAGACUCAUCUUCAGAGUUUUCUUAGAGCAAAUGAAGCCUUACUCAAGGACUGAGUCCCCAGAUGAAUUUCCCCAGGGAAUGAAGUCUCCUAUACAUAAAAUGUUAACUUGAAAAUCAGUCCAGUAGCUCAGUAAUUACUACUUAAGCUUGACCUUCAUGGUGCCAACUGCAUCUUUCUUACAUUGCUGGGUGCGGUGACGGAUGAUA
This 728-nucleotide long non-coding RNA is filed under the name Homo sapiens (human). Its description in RNAcentral is "non-protein coding lnc-ZNF562-2:1". Lineage: Eukaryota; Metazoa; Chordata; Mammalia; Primates; Hominidae. The record is from RNAcentral.